This is a non-coding RNA of Cinara cedri, 250 nucleotides long. The record is from the annotation of a GenBank genome assembly. NCBI's taxonomy places the organism in Eukaryota, Metazoa, Arthropoda, Insecta, Hemiptera, Aphididae.
GAUAGCUAUUUGUCAAAAUCUAAUAUCUAAAUAUUUAAAGAAAAAUAAUUUAGGAGACAAUAAUAAUUCAUAUUAUGCACAAAUGUAUCUGUGUUUACUUAUAAAGUGACUAAUAAUUAACUACUAUAAACUAUUAAUAAAAAUUAAUGUACAUAAAUUUGUUUACAUAACAAUAUUGAUUAUAUACUUCUCUCUAAAAAUUAUUAUUUUGGUAUGUAGUCUUAAUAUAUUGAAUUAGUAAUAAGUACAA